CCUACGGGUGGCUGCAGUCGAGGAUCUUCGGCAAUGGGCGAAAGCCUGACCGAGCGACGCCGCGUGUGGGAUGAAGGCCUUCGGGUUGUAAACCACUGUCGUAGAGGAGGAAAUUCUAGGGGGUUCUCCCCUUAGUUUGACCUAUUCUAGGAGGAAGUCAGGGCUAAGUUCGUGCCAGCAGCCGCGGUAAGACGAACCUGACGAACGUUAUUCGGAAUUACUGGGCUUAAAGGGUGCGUAGGCGGCGUGGCAAGUUGGGUGUGAAAUCCCUCGGC
Molecule: ribosomal RNA, 275 nt
Filed under: uncultured bacterium
Lineage: Bacteria
Description: partial 16S ribosomal RNA
Rfam family: Bacterial small subunit ribosomal RNA
Source: RNAcentral